This is a long non-coding RNA of Zea mays, 503 nucleotides long. RefSeq lists it as uncharacterized. The transcript is spliced from 4 exons. Lineage: Eukaryota; Viridiplantae; Streptophyta; Magnoliopsida; Poales; Poaceae. The record is from RefSeq and is a predicted model, not a curated record. The annotation marks the transcript as partial.
AGGACAACUCAAUCUUUGCUCUCAUCUGCUAUUUCUCUUACUGACACACACUCCGCCAAGAGGUUCUGAAUGCUAUAUCAUGCCUAGCAGAAAACACCAAUCACGUUGUGGUCUUUGAUGAGGUUCUAUCUGUGGCUGGAAAAGAUAUCUGUACAAAAGACAUACCAAGGAUUCGUGGAGGCUGGGCCAUACAGGAUGUUUUUUAUGCAUUUUCCCAGCACAAGGAGCUUGCACUUCUAUUCCUGGAGUACACUUUAUCUAUACUUCACAAAGAACCUGUCAUAAUAAACAGUUCUGAGAAGGGGGAGAGUACCUCUGAGUCAUUGGCUGAUGACUGUAUUCUACAGGCAACUAUGUUUGCUCUCAAUGCAUUUAUGAGAGGUGGUGGGAAGAUUGGGAAACAAGCUGUUGAGAAAAGUUACCCUUCUGUUCUUUCGGGCCUUAUACUGAAGCUCGGAAGUCUUAAUGGUGUUGCUGAAUUGGGUCGAAAUGAACUUCUACGG